AAUCCCCUAGGAUUCUUGGUUACAUUUUUAUUAUUAUUUGCAUUCUUGUUUCAGGACAUUUCUUCCCCCUUUCUCUCCUCUCUCCUCCACUCCACUCCACCCCCCCCCAACUUGAUAUGCUAGUUCUGAUGCUACUUAACAUUCACUGUUUAUUUUUAGAGCGAACGGCGUCAGGCAGAUUUGUACUCAUUGUCUGCAAAGGCACGUUUUGGCUCCUCCAGCACAGUCAGGGAGAAGACAAUAUUGGGUGAUUGUGCCUGUGCAAACCUAAAAAUGAUUUUAAUUAAACCAUCGCAGCAGCUUUUGCAAUGCCAGAGUUGUGUUCUGAGUGGCAUGCUUCAUGCACUAGCAUUGUAUUUUGUGUGUGUGUGUGUUUUGAAGCAACCCCCCCCCCCCCAUAUUCAAAUAACAGUCAAUCAAGCCACACACACCCCACCCCCUUUGGGGAUUGCAGGUGUUCUGCAAGAAAUUGAAUCUGAUGUUGUUUUGCCGCCUUUAUUUAUGGCCCCUGAAACAAAUGAAAAAAUGAGACUGAGAACAAAACUCUUGCUACCUUCAUUAAAGUGAAACGUUGUGUUUCCAGCUUCACCCUUUGCUCAGUCUCAGUUUGUGUGUCAGGAUUCCUGUCUCUCCCUUCCUUCCGCCAGACCUCCUUCUCUUCCCUUGUUUGUUUAGGUUUUUGUGUUUUUUAAUUUGUUCUGCUUGGUUAAUCUGGUUUGUUUGUUGGUGGCACAAGGAGCUGCUUUUUAAAAUUUAUUUAUCCCUGGGGGGGUCGAGGCUUCUGUUCACUCUGGAACGCUUAGAAACAACUGGAAUGCGGGUGGACGGAUUUAGCAUGAAUAUUGCAGAGCCUCACUGGUGACAGUCAAACGGGGUAUGCCUGUCGUUUUGCAUGACUGGUGCAGGUGUAUCAAUCUCCGGCUAGGGAAAUCUUGCCUCUUCUGUGAACUUAGUAGGUGGAUUUUGGUGAAGUUGACCUCUCACAGUCUUGACCACUGCUCUGGAUUGCAUUCACUUGCCUGAGAGGGUGGGGGUUAGGUUUCCAGAAAGACGAUUAAUACAAAGUGCUAUACAAAUGCAAAAUGUGGGGUGCAUGUGCAAAUGCGUCAUGCAUUUGUUUCAUUUAUGAAUCACUUCCCUUGAGGCCCCCCGAAGCCAUUUACACUACAACAACAUAUGCAAAACACAUACAUAUGUAAGACAGUCAAAACAAUUGCAUAUAUAAAAGUGAUGGUUAAAUAAAACCCCAAUUAUAUAUAAAAAAACAGGUUAGAACAGCAGCAGGAUAUACAUAAAAUCAUUUCAAAUCCAGGACAGAUGCCAACUGGGAAUAAAGAUUUUAGACAGCUUAUUGAUAGCGGAACGCCUUGAGCAGGUGCUGAGAAGACCUGUCUGAAGUGCAGUGGCAGGGAGUUCCAAAGGCCCUAACCCAACAUUGUGUGGAACAGUCCUUCUGAGAGGAUGGUAUCUGCAGGAUGCUCUCCUUGCAGAAUGUAGUGAUUGGUUGGCUACGGAGGGGAUAUGGCAAUCGUUUGGGUGUCCUGGUCCCGAGCUGAAUAGGGUUUUGUACAGCAGUGACGGCACCUUCAACCAUGCAGCAUAGAGGCUUUACACCCAGGGUGACUUAUUUUGGGGGGGGGGCAAGGGCCACAUUCACACUUGACUAACCCUCUGAGUUUUGCAUGCCAGCAGUGGCUGUCACCCACCCACCCCACUCAGGACACACGCGGUUCAGCUGAUCUAUCUUCUGCCGUUUUACAUCUCCGUCACGAUUUUCUCUAAACUGAAAAGUCCUAAACACAGCAACCUUUCCUCCAUCAGGGAUUCACUCCAUCUUCUUGAUCCUUUCAGUGUUGCCCUUUUCUGAACCUUAAUAUUAGAAGAUUAAGGCUGCAAUCCUACCUACAAUUGCGUAGGCUCAAGCUCUGUUGAACUUAGUGGGAUGUUUGAGCAAGCAUACCUACGACGGGGCACAGUAUCUUUGGGAACAUAGAAAGCAGCCUUAUGCCCGCUUCAUAUUCUUCGUUCAUCUAAGCACAGUAUCAUCUGUUCUUAGAGGCAGCAGUUCACCAUGGUAAAAACUCAUCCUGCCCACUAAUUGCUUCCUGAUCCCUCUAACCAUUUAUGGUGCCACUUACUGACUUAUCCUAGGGCUUUUCAGAUGCAAAACUCCACCACUGAGAUACAACCCUUUCCCCAGGAUGGGGCACAAUACAUUGUUUGCUGGUAGGACACUAUCCAGUUUAUUUUAUUUUUUAAAUAAUAUUUAUUGAAUUUUAAAGGGUUACAAAAAGAAAGAAUUAAAAAACAGCAUAUUUAAGAAACACAAAACAUCACAUCACGAU
This is a non-coding RNA of Podarcis lilfordi (Lilford's wall lizard), 2345 nucleotides long. The record is from the annotation of a GenBank genome assembly. Lineage: Eukaryota; Metazoa; Chordata; Lepidosauria; Squamata; Lacertidae.